CAGUCGCCGCGGUAAUACGUAGGGCGCAAGCGUUGUCCGGAAUUAUUGGGCGUAAAGAGCUCGUAGGCGGUCUGUCGCGUCUGGUGUGAAAUCCCGAGGCUCAACCUCGGGCUUGCAUCGGGUACGGGCAGACUAGAGUGCGGUAGGGGAGACUGGAAUUCCUGGUGUAGCGGUGGAAUGCGCAGAUAUCAGGAGGAACACCGAUGGCGAAGGCAGGUCUCUGGGCCGCAACUGACGCUGAGGAGCGAAAGCGUGGGGAGCAAACAGGAUUAGAUACCCGAGUAGUCCCUGUCUCUUAUAC
RNAcentral lists this ribosomal RNA (301 nucleotides) under uncultured bacterium. RNAcentral describes it as "partial 16S ribosomal RNA". It matches the Rfam family "Bacterial small subunit ribosomal RNA", at positions 509 to 807 of the family's 1533-position model. The record is from RNAcentral.